This 471-nucleotide ribosomal RNA is filed under the name uncultured bacterium. RNAcentral's name for it is "bacterial SSU rRNA". It matches the Rfam family "Bacterial small subunit ribosomal RNA", at positions 30 to 524 of the family's 1533-position model. The record is from RNAcentral.
AUUGAACGCUGGCGGCAGGCCUAACACAUGCAAGUCGAGCGCGAAAGUCUUCGGAUGAGUAAAGCGGCGAACGGGUGAGUAAUGCAUGGGAAUCUGCCUGGUAGUGGGGGACAACGUCUCGAAAGGGACGCUAAUACCGCAUACGCCCUACGGGGGAAAGGGGGGGAGUCUUCGGACCUCUCGCUAUCAGAUGAGCCCAUGUCAGAUUAGCUAGUUGGUGAGGUGAAGGCUCACCAAGGCGACGAUCUGUAACUGGUCUGAGAGGAUGAUCAGUCACACUGGAACUGAGACACGGUCCAGACUCCUACGGGAGCAGCAGUGGGGAAUCUUAGCGCAAUGGGCGAAAGCCUGACGCAGCCAUGCCGCGUGAAUGAUGAAGGUCUUAGGAUUGUAAAAUUCUUUCACCGGGGACGAUAAUGACGGUACCCGAGAAGAAGCCCCGGCUAACUUCGUGCCAGCAGCCGCGGUAAU